Non-coding RNA from Gossypium raimondii (Peruvian cotton), 146 nucleotides. Lineage: Eukaryota; Viridiplantae; Streptophyta; Magnoliopsida; Malvales; Malvaceae. The record is from Rfam.
UAUUAAAGAUUUCAUCCAUUUAUAUUGUUAAAAACUGGCGAGAUUAACAAAAUAAUCAGACAGUUACACAUAAUGUGCCACGUAUACCUCAUUUUGACGUAUAAUGAUAAAUUUUUUAAAAGAAGAAAUAGAUGAAAUUUUUAUUA